RNAcentral lists this ribosomal RNA (450 nucleotides) under uncultured bacterium. RNAcentral describes it as "bacterial SSU rRNA". It matches the Rfam family "Bacterial small subunit ribosomal RNA", at positions 354 to 796 of the family's 1533-position model. The record is from RNAcentral.
GUGGGGAAUUUUGGACAAUGGGGGCAACCCUGAUCCAGCCAUGCCGCGUGAGUGAAGAAGGCCUUCGGGUUGUAAAGCUCUUUUGUCUGGGAAGAAAAGGCGUCGUCGAAUACACGGCGUUCUUGACGGUACCGGAAGAAUAAGCACCGGCUAACUACGUGCCAGCAGCCGCGGUAAUACGUAGGGUGCGAGCGUUAAUCGGAAUUACUGGGCGUAAAGCGUGCGCAGGCGGUUCGUGAAGUCCGAUGUGAAAGCCCUGGGCUCAACCUAGGAACGGCAUUGGAAACUGGCGGGCUAGAGUGUGGCAGAGGGGGGUGGAAUUCCUGGUGUAGCAGUGAAAUGCGUAGAGAUCAGGAGGAACACCGAUGGCGAAGGCAGCCCCCUGGGCUAACACUGACGCUCAGGCACGAAAGCGUGGGGAGCAAACAGGAUUAGAAACCCCGGUAGUCC